Molecule: ribosomal RNA, 791 nt
Filed under: uncultured archaeon
Lineage: Archaea
Description: bacterial SSU rRNA
Rfam family: Bacterial small subunit ribosomal RNA
Source: RNAcentral
ACUGCUCAGUAACACGUGACUAACCUACCUUUAAGUGGGGAAUAACCUCGGGAAACCGGGGCUAAUACCGCAUAAUACCGAGAGGUCAAAGGAGGAAUCCGCUUGAAGAGGGGGUCGCGGCUGAUUAGCUAGUUGGUAGGGUAAUGGCCUACCAAGGCAGUGAUCAGUAUCCGGCCUGAGAGGGCGCACGGACACACUGGAACUGAAACACGGUCCAGACUCCUACGGGAGGCAGCAGUGGGGAAUUUUGCACAAUGGGGGAAACCCUGAUGCAGCAACGCCGCGUGGAGGAUGAAGCCCCUUGGGGCGUAAACUCCUUUCGAUCGGGACGAUUAUGACGGUACCGGAAGAAGAAGCACCGGCUAACUCUGUGCCAGCAGCCGCGGUAAUACAGAGGGUGCAAGCGUUGUUCGGAAUUAUUUGGCGUAAAGGGCGCGUAGGCGGUGCGGUAAGUCUCUUGUGAAAUCUCCGGGCUCAACUCGGAGCCUGCAAGGGAAACUGCCGUGCUUGAGUAUGGGAGAGGUGAGUGGAAUUCCCGGCGUAGCGGAGAAAUGCGUAGAUAUCGGGAGGAACACCUGUGGCGAAAGCGGCUCACUGGACCAUAACUGACGCUGAGGCGCGAAAGCUAGGGGAGCAAACAGGAUUAGAUACCCUGGUAGUCCUAGCCCUAAACGAUGAUUGCUUGGUGUGGCGGGUACCCAAUCCCGCCGUGCCGGAGUUAACGCGAUAAGCAAUCCGCCUGGGGAGUACGGUCGCAAGGCUGAUACUCAAAGGAAUUGGCGGGGGAGCAC